RNAcentral lists this ribosomal RNA (235 nucleotides) under uncultured bacterium. RNAcentral describes it as "partial 16S ribosomal RNA". It matches the Rfam family "Bacterial small subunit ribosomal RNA", at positions 29 to 248 of the family's 1533-position model. The record is from RNAcentral.
AGCGAACGUUAGCGGCGGGCUUAACACAUGCAAGUCGAGCGAGAAAGUGGCUUCGGCCAUCAGUAAAGCGGCGGACGGGUGAGUAACACGUAGGUAAUCUUCCUUCGAGCGGGGGACGAACGUUCCGAAGGGACGCUAUACCGCAUACGUUUCUUCGGGACGUCUGGUCCGUGGGAAGGGAAAGCUAGGUCGCAAGAUCCGGCACUCGAUGAGGAGCCUGCGUAGCAUCAGCUAG